This 1294-nucleotide long non-coding RNA is filed under the name Chloebia gouldiae (Gouldian finch). Its description in RNAcentral is "Erythrura gouldiae (Gouldian finch) lncRNA (ENSEGOG00005018567.1)". The record is from RNAcentral. Lineage: Eukaryota; Metazoa; Chordata; Aves; Passeriformes; Passeridae.
CGGCUGUCCCAUCCCCGCUGUCCCAUCCCUGCUCUCCCGGCUGUCCCGGCUGUGCCGUUCCCGCUGUCCCAUCCCGCUCUCCCGGCUGUCCCGGUGCCGUUCCCGCUCUCCCGUUCCCGCUGCCCCAUUCCCGCUCUCCCGUUCCCGCUGUCCCGUUCCCGCUCUCCCGGCAGUGCCGUUCCCGCUGCGGCGGCGGCGGCGGCGCUGACCUGUCGCGGUUCUUGGUGAGCAGGUUGCGCUCGAUGCCCUCCAUGAGGUUCUCGAAGCACAGGUGCAUGGCCUGCUGCUUCUCGGGGGGCUGGCUGUUCACGAUGCUGUUCCUCAGGUCCGAGAAGUACUGCGGGAGCGGCACGGCCGCGCCUCAGGGCCCGCCCGCCACGGCGCCGGAGCGCCCCGGGAGCCGGGCACGGAGCCGCACGGCUCCGCUCCGGGAUGGGCCCNNNNNNNNNNCCAAAACUGGGAUCAUCCUGGCCAUGGGAUCAUUCCAAAAUUGGGAGCGUUCCAAAAUUGGGAGCGUUCCAAAAUUGGGUCAUUCCAAAAUUGGGUGAUUCCAAAAUUGGGUCAUUCCAAAAUUGGGACCAUCCCAAAAUUGGGUCAUUCCAAAAUUGGGUCAUUCCAAAAUUGGGAUCAUUCCAAAAUUGGGAGCGUUCCAGAACUGGGAUCAUUCCAAAAUUGGGAUUGUUCCAAAAUUGGGAUCAUCCUGGCCAUGGGAUCAUUCCAAAAUUGGGUCAUUCCAAAAUUGGGACCAUUCCAAAACGGAUUGUUCAAAAAUUUGGAGUGUUCCAAAAUUGGGAUCAUCCUGGCCAUGAGAUCAUUCCAAAAUUGGGAGCGUUCCAAAAGUGGGACCGUUCCAAAAUUGGAUCAUUCCAAAAUUGGGUCAUUCCAAAACUGGAUCAUGCCAAAAUUGGGAUCAUUCCAAAAUUGGGACCGUCCCAAAAUUGGGAUUGUUCCAAAAUUCGGAGUGUUCCAAAAUUGGGAUCAUCCUGGCCAUGGGAUCAUUCCAAAGUUGGGAUCAUUCCAAAAUUGGGAUUGUUUCACAAUUCGGAGUGUUCCAAAAUUGGGAUCAUCCUGGCCAUGGGAUCAUUCCAAAAUCGGUACUAUUCCAAAAUUAGGACUGUUUCAAAAUUGGGAUCAUCCUGGCCAUGUGAUCAUUCAAAAAUUGGGAUCAUUCCAAAAUUGGGUCAUUCCAAAAUUGGGACCAUACUAAAAUUGGGAGCGUUCCAAAACUGGAUCAUUCCAAAAUUGGAUCAUUCCAAAAUUGUGAGCAUUCCAAAAUUGGAACUGUUCCAAAUUG